GACGAACGCUGGCGGCGUGCCUAAUACAUGCAAGUCGAACGAACCGCGACUGAGUGCUUGCACUUGGUCAAGGUGAGUGGCGAACGGGUGAGUAACACGUGGGUAACCUACCUCAUAGUGGGGGAUAACAGUCGGAAACGACUGCUAAUACCGCAUAGGACAUAGGAUCACAUGAUCCAGUGAGGAAAGGUGGCGCAAGCUAUCGCUAAGAGAUGGACCCGCGGGGCAUUAGCUAGUUGGUAGGGUAAAGGCCUACCAAGGCGAUGAUGCAGAGCCGACCUGAGAGGGUGAUCGGCCACAUUGGGAGUGAGACACGGCCCAAACUCCUGAGGGAGGCAGCAGUCGGGAAUCUUCCGCAAUGGACGAAAGUCUGACGGAGCAACGCCGCGUGAGUGAAGAAGGUCUUCGGAUCGUGAAGCUGUGUUGUUAGAGAAGAACAGCGCAUAGAGUAACUGAUAUGCGUGUGACGGUAUCUAACCAGAAAGCCACGGCUAACUACGUG
Molecule: ribosomal RNA, 502 nt
Filed under: uncultured bacterium
Lineage: Bacteria
Description: partial 16S ribosomal RNA
Rfam family: Bacterial small subunit ribosomal RNA
Source: RNAcentral